CAGAGACCUCCCCUGGGAAAUGGUCCCUUGCUCCCGUUUAGUGUGCAGAGCUGGCACCCGCUCCAACCUGGUCCUUGUGGGUCUCGGCUGAUAGCACCCCGGCUGUCGUCUGAGUCUGUGAGGUGGAGCCAGAGUCAGGAAGGGGAUGUCCUGAAUGGGACACACCCCCUUACUGGAGACUCUUCUCCUGGUGAGGAGCAAUCCCUAACUCCACAUUCCAGGUGCACAGCUGGGGGCAGGAGGGGCUUCCCGAAAGCCAGGCACUUAGGGGGCAAAGACCCCGGGGGGUAAGUUUCUGCCUCCCACGCCAGCCCUCAGUGUGAACCAAGGGAUGCCAGGGCCAGGAGGCCAGGUGCAGGCCUCAGGGGUCCUCAGGGGGUCCACGGGAAGGGGCAGUUACUGUUCAAAGGCCUGUAGGACACAGUUGGAAAUUAUUUUUUACCCAACGUUAAGUGGCUGUGCAUAGUACAAAUUAGAUACUUUCUGUGAACAUGUUGCCAAUCUGAAAAAUAAUGCAUUCCAAAACCCAGAACUGGAACAUGGAAAUAGAGCAGAAGGUUUGAGGAUAAUCUAGAGGGAGGGGGAAGAACAUGACCUCAGGAGCCAGAGAGGGGCCAGUGCUUGUCAUUGGUCCCUUAAUGUGAGUCUGAGCUUCCUGGUAGCCACAGCAAGAAAUGAAAGCACAGUGGGAUUUUUAGUUUUGCCAAUAAAAGGACGUGUCAAGAUCCCCCACAGGACUGGUUUUCGUGGCCCCGAACAGAUUUAUCAGAUGUUUCUUUGUAAAAGAGGAAGUGAGGGGCUGAGAUUAUGGCUCAGUGGCAGAGCGCUUGCCUCACACGUGUGAGGCACUGGGUUUGAUCCUCAGCACCACAUUAAAAAAAAUAAAUAAAGGUAUUAUGUCCAUCUUCAACUAAAAAAAUAUUCAAAAAAAUUAAAAAAGAGGAAGCGAGGGCUGGGCCGUGACUCAGCAGGAGCGCACUUGCCUGGCACGUGUGAGGCACUGGGCUGAUUCUCAGCUCUGCGUAUAAAUAAAUAAAGGUCCCUCAACAACUAAAAAAAUAUUGAAAAAUAAAAAAUAAAUAAAAGAGGAAGCGAGUCCUUGCCUCUAAGGCCCUUUUCUUCUGUGGGUUCUCAAAGGAAGCUGAGGCCUGUUUAUAAAGCAGUUCCUCGAGGGGCGGAGCUAGCAGAGCAAAGGCCUCAGCCAUCCAGCACUGGGUCCUGCGUGGUCGAAGCCCCGGCCGUAGGCUCCAGGGGACGGGACCCCGCCUGCUUUGCUGGCCAGGACGUCCUCAGGCCAGUUCCAUGAUAGAAAGUACCAGGUGCCAGGUCCACCCCUGUUGGGUGAAGGCACAGGGAGGAGGCCCCUGGUCAUCUUCGUCCUCCUUCAGGAAGGACCGUGGGGGGAGGGGAGGGGCCACGGCCCCACUGAG
Molecule: long non-coding RNA, 1430 nt
Filed under: Marmota monax (woodchuck)
Lineage: Eukaryota; Metazoa; Chordata; Mammalia; Rodentia; Sciuridae
Source: RNAcentral